UACGAAGGGGGCUAGCGUUGCUCGGAAUUACGGGGCGUAAAGCGCACGUAGGCGGCUUCUUAAGUCGGAGGUGAAAUCCUGGAGCUCAACUCCAGAACUGCCUUCGAUACUGGGAAGCUCGAGUCCGGGAGAGGUGAGUGGAACUGCGAGUGUAGAGGUGAAAUUCGUAGAUAUUCGCAAGAACACCAGUGGCGAAGGCGGCUCACUGGCCCGGUACUGACGCUGAGGUGCGAAAGCGUGGGGAGCAAACAGG
RNAcentral lists this ribosomal RNA (253 nucleotides) under uncultured bacterium. Its description in RNAcentral is "partial 16S ribosomal RNA". It matches the Rfam family "Bacterial small subunit ribosomal RNA", at positions 524 to 776 of the family's 1533-position model. The record is from RNAcentral.